This 726-nucleotide ribosomal RNA is filed under the name uncultured bacterium. RNAcentral describes it as "bacterial SSU rRNA". It matches the Rfam family "Bacterial small subunit ribosomal RNA", at positions 111 to 823 of the family's 1533-position model. The record is from RNAcentral.
UAACACGUGAGUGACCUGCCUUUUAGACUGGAACAACUUACCGAAAGGUGAGCUAAUGCCGGAUGAGUUAUAUAAGUGCAUGUUUAUAUAGGAAAAGUUGGGGAGACCUGACGCUGAAAGAUGGACUCGCGCCCCAUUAGCUAGUUGGUAGGGUAAUGGCCUACCAAGGCGACGAUGGGUAGCCGGCCUGAGAGGGUGGCCGGCCACACUGGGACUGAGACACGGCCCAGACUCCUACGGGAGGCAGCAGUGGGGAAUUUUGCGCAAUGCUCGUAAGAGUGUCGCAGCGACGCCGCGUGAAUGACGAAGGCCUUCGGGUCGUAAAGUUCUUUCGACAGGGAAGAAAAUGCCUAUAAGUAACUGUGUAUGUAUUGACGGUACCUGUAUAAGCAGCCCCGGCUAACUCCGUGCCAGCAGCCGCGGUAAUACGGAGGGGGCGAGCGUUGUUCGGAGUGACUGGGCGUAAAGAGCACGUAGGCGGUGUUGUAAGUCAUUAGUCAAAGACUAGAGCUCAACUUUAGUAAGGCUAGUGAUACUAUAAUACUAGAGUAUCAGAGAGGAUUGCAGAAUUCCUGGUGUAGCGGUGAAAUGCGUGGAUAUCAGGAGGAAUACCGUUAGCGAAGGCGGCAAUCUGGCUGGAAACUGACGCUGAGGUGCGAAAGCGUGGGUAGCAAACAGGAUUAGAUACCCUGGUAGUCCACGCUGUAAACGAUGGAUGCUAGGUGU